UGGGGAAUUUUGGACAAUGGGCGAAAGCCUGAUCCAGCAAUGCCGCGUGUGUGAAGAAGGCCUUCGGGUUGUAAAGCACUUUUGUCCGGAAAGAAAUCCUUGGCUCUAAUACAGUCGGGGGAUGACGGUACCGGAAGAAUAAGCACCGGCUAACUACGUGCCAGCAGCCGCGGUAAUACGUAGGGUGCAAGCGUUAAUCGGAAUUACUGGGCGUAAAGCGUGCGCAGGCGGUUUGCUAAGACCGAUGUGAAAUCCCCGGGCUCAACCUGGGGAACUGCAUUGGUGACUGGCAGGCUAGAGUAUGGCAGAGGGGGGUAGAAUUCCACGUGUAGCAGUGAAAUGCGUAGAGAUGUGGAGGAAUACCGAUGGCGAAGGCAGCCCCCUGGGCCAAAUACUGACGCUCAUGCACGAAAGCGUGGGGAGCAAACAGGAUUAGAUACCCUGGUAGUCCACGCCCUAAACGAUGUCAACUAGUUGUUGGGGAUUCAUUUCCUUAGUAACGUAGCUAACGCGUGAAGUUGACCGCCUGGGGAGUACGGUCGCAAGAUU
Molecule: ribosomal RNA, 549 nt
Filed under: uncultured bacterium
Lineage: Bacteria
Description: partial 16S ribosomal RNA
Rfam family: Bacterial small subunit ribosomal RNA
Source: RNAcentral